UUUUGUUACCCCAAACUACAUAGGCCUAUAAAAGCCUGAUCAGUGACAUAAAAGUAAUCGGAAUGCAGCUAGUAAUUCUUUUAUUGCUCGUUGACGCGUGAACUUCCCCUUUAAAUAACGCGACGCUCUGCCCUCUAUAUGACGCUGUUCCCUUUAAGAGCUGUUGGAAGCGAAUUAAUGAUUUUAUUUUUUUUCUGGAAGAGAAUUUUUUCAGCAUUUCGACACUUCCGUCAGGAUGCGUUAAAUUUGACAAAGCGGUUUAUUAAAAUAUGUAUUGAUCUUAAUUGUAUUGAUUUUAAUUGGCUGUAAAAGUUUUAUAUGUAAAUAUUACACGACACACUGAACCUUUAACAAUGCAUUGGCGCAAAAACGCACACCUUUUAGACCAGUUUCACAUGAAACAUGAUUUCUCGACUGCCACAAAUACUGCCUAAACAAAAUACUGACUUCACUUUUUAUGUAGCCUACCGAUAUUUUAAAUUGGCCUUUGAACUUGCACAGCAAAAAAAAAAAAAAAGCCUUACCUUGCCAAAACACGGACAGAACCCAUUGAUCUAAUGGCAUUGUUGAGGGAUCCAAAUCCAAAUGCAAACUUUGCAUGCAACAAUCAGAGGCAGCAUUGACAGCGCUCUGAUCCAAUAGCAUACAGGCAUCGUCAGAAUGACAGUCCUCUAGCCCAAUGAUGUUGGGGGAUCCAGUGGGGGGCGGCAAUCAUAUUUCAGUGUUCUUGCCACUCUUGAUCACAACCCUGUUAAAAUAUAGCUGCAGUACGAUCGCUUGGUCACGUGCCGCUGCUUAAAUCAUGAAGAACUGAACCUGGACGACAGCAGGGCGCUAUUAUCAUCAAUUCUCAAAAGAGACACCGUUGUCCCUUUCAAGGUAGUAUGUUGAAUUAAAAUAAUACGGUUUGUAUAUACUUUAUAACUCUAACUUUAUAACUAUAAUUUUAUGACUCCUAUUGUUUUAACAGAAACUGAAAUUGAUGGAGACACUUUAAUGAACCUUCUUAAAAACCUUAAAUAUUCCCAAAAAUGAAGGAUUAAGUUAAAUUCAUAAGAUUACAAGACCACAAUAAAAUAAAAAUAUGUAGGCACUGGGCACCUUUACUAAUUAUUAUUAACUAGCCUAUUAUAGCCUAAUUAUUUAAUGGGAAGAACUUAGUGACUUUAACAUUUUCUCAAAUUUAUGCAUUUGGUUGUUAUUACAAAGCAACUUUCAUUGCAUUCACAUUUUUAAUGGGAUGCUCAGUUAGGUGUGAUGGUCAGGUCAGGUGUCCACAUGUUUAGCCGAACUAUAUUGUGAUCUUUGCAAAUCAUUGAGCUGUUUUAUACUAACAUGCACCUUUCUGCAAACUUUUUUAUUUGAUAUUUCACCUGGAUCAAUCUCAAGACAACAUAUUGUAGAAAUAACAUUUUUAAAAAAGACUUGAGACCAGAGAUUUUUUCUUUGACAGGACAAAGCAAACAAGAUCAAACAUAAUUCAAGGUCUGUUUGAUUAGAUGUGCGCAUAUAUAUGGUAAUUUCCACAUUGCAGUAAGUUUAUAAUUUUAGAGAAUGAUGAAGGUAAAAAUGUUUUUCUCUAUUUUCAGGUAUGCAACAGGUAUAUUCAGCCCUUGUUACCAAAUACCAGUUCUUGAGAGAAAAGACUGGCAGAGGAUGUGCUUAAAAACAAAUUUAAAAAAAAGAAAGAUCACCUUUGAUUAAUGUUGAAGAAAUAAAUGAAAUUUGUUGCAGGUUCAGCAAAGUAAGAGUAAGAAAGCAGAUAAUUUUACCAGGAGUCCAUCAAAAAUAUGGCAACCAUUGUAGAGGUACACUGUAAAAAAUGACUGUGAUUUUAACAGUAAAAAACUGUGAAAAAGCUACGGUAAAAAACCUGUUAAAUGGUUAACGGUAAGUUCCCCUAAUAUAUACUGUAAAAAAACUGUAAUAGACAUUUCAGACAAUUUUACGGUGAAAUACCGCUUUUGGAAGUGAAAAAGAAUGUAAAAUUUACAGGGAAAAACCGUAAAUUGAUGUUCCCAGAAUUCCCUGCAUUGCAUUUCAAAUUUUGUUUGAAUUUGAUGUUUUUUCUUUGAAAUAACUAGGUUUCAUCUUCGUUUUUUCUUACCAGUUAUGUUUAUUAUGGUUGUAUGUUACAUCUAAUGUUGUUAAAUUAAUGUUUAUUGCAUAUUUCAGUUUAAUGAGUCUCACCAUGAUGGUGUUUAGUGCUUGUGUGAACGACACUGUGCACCUUCUAUAUAUGUUAUUAUUUAAAAGCUGCUUGUGAUGGGCUUUGGUUCAUCAUGUGACUCUCAUCACGGCCUGCAUUUGGCGGUUAUCAGUGUAAUACAAAGGUACAAAACAGAUAUCGGUACUUCAAUAGGUUGGUAUAUUAACAUUAUAUCAGUUGAUGAAAUUACGGUAUUUAACUGUAAAUUUAUGUCAAAAACGUAAAACCUAAAACGUUGCUACUGUAUAUUUUACGGUAGAAUUCCGGCAACCACAGCUGCCGUUUUUUUAGCGUAAAUUUUACGGAAUUUUUUUUUACAUUGUAGGUUUUCUAAAAUAAAGUGACACUUCAAUACUUACAUUUCUUUUACCCUGUGAGAUUUUUUUUUUUUUUAUCAUUUAUUCAUUUGUUUAUUUAUUCUGUAGAUCUAUCUGGCCAAGAUUUGUAUCAGUAGGGGUAAGUGACACAGAGUCUGGUGGCACAAACAGUGAUCAACGAUCAAAGAAGAGCAGUUGGGGUAGAUACUGUUACUGAGUUGGAUGAAGAAAAACAAAUCUGCGUUGAUUUGGCACACAAAGGUCUCAGUGGUUGCUGCUGUCCUGCUGUUUCCGCUUCUAUUAAAGGAGAGGCUGAGAUCUCUCUAUGUCAUCAGUGAGGAACCACAUACACCCAACCCUGUGCUGUUUAUAAAGGGACGUGCCUUGUAUGCAGAGUCUCUUUCAGAAGUAAUGAUGGAAGGUCUGUGAAGUUGACGAUGUGAACACAGCUCUACACUUCAUCUUCAACACUGAAUAUGCUUCAAAGUUGAGAGACACCCUGACAUUCAUUGAAAACAAUGGGAAGUUUUUUUGAUUAAAUGAAUGUAUAUGUAUAUAAAUGCAUGAUGUCGAUUGUUGUUUAUUUAUUUAUUUAUUUAUGUGUUCAAAAAGGAACCGAUGAGGGUCAUUAAUGCACCUUUAAGUGAAGGUUCCAAUUAGAACCUUUUCAAAAAGUUUCAAAAAUGAACCAUUAAGGUUCCUCCACAGUUGCAAUCUCCAGGAACCUCAAAAGGUUCAUUUUGGAACCUUUUCUUCUAAGAGUGACGUACACUGGCUUGAAUGCCGUUUUUAACAUUUCUUUCAAGGCAUUGAUGUUCUCUGGCUGUACUGCGUGAUUCUCUCACUUAAGGACGUGCGUCAGUGUUUCAAUAAGGAACGUGACAUUUAUAUAUCAUCCAUUUUUCAUCUGCCAUUCUGUACAUCCUUCAGCUAGUCGUGUGUGUGAUCCGCACGCUCCCUUCGGUAUCGCUCUUCUUCAGUGUUUUCUGAUGGAUGUGAAACACGGACUGUAACCAGAGCAAGAAACGGCUGCAGAUUUUACAUCUGAAGAAUUAUAUCAAAUAUACAAGAAAUGUC
This is a long non-coding RNA of Onychostoma macrolepis, 3603 nucleotides long. RefSeq lists it as uncharacterized. The record is from RefSeq and is a predicted model, not a curated record. Lineage: Eukaryota; Metazoa; Chordata; Actinopteri; Cypriniformes; Cyprinidae. The transcript is spliced from 3 exons.